AAGGAAAGUUUGCAGAAUCAUCGUGUGGAGGGCUCAUAUUUCAACACGGAACACCACACAUUCAAGUCAGUCUCGCCACCUUAAUCUUGCAUAACUCUGAGUUUGAGAUCCAAGUUUAAAGACAAAUGGCGCACUUAAAGUUUAUGUGCGUACUGGUACUUCAUUAUUUCAUCUUUUCGUCUUUGUUCGCGCGCGAAGAAGCUUACGUUAUGUAUAACAAAGUCGGUAAAAGAAUUUUCAAGCUGCAACGAAAACUUGAGGUGGGACCGAUAAUGAAAAGUCGCGUAAUGGACUCAGAAACUGCGCGUGCGCAGAUACAGAAGACAAAAGCUGAGGACAGUGGAACAUGGAAUUUUGGAUCGACCAGGCCACUAGAGAAUUGAGGAUCACUUCAUUUCACGUUUGCUAGUUUAACCUAUCGAAUAGAAUUACCGAAGCAAAUAAGUUUAAAAUUCGAUUGCUGUUAGUUAAAGAACCAUAAGUUAUGGAGGGAUUUUGAUAUCAUAAAAAUAGAUUGGACUGAUAAAGUAAUGAAUGAAACUUCCUGUAAGUUGUUAAAAAACCAUUGUGAUUACCAUGAAUACAUGAAAUAAUUUCGAACGUCUAUGGUGUUUGGGCAUCUAAUAUCAGUUUUUAUAAAAGGCAAUGAUGUAAUUUAGCUUUCUUUCAGAGACUUAAAUUUUUUUUUAAUGCAUUUAUUAUGCUAUGUGCCAAUCAGUAUGAACUUCAAGUUUGCGUAUAAAUAAAGUUUAUUACACAGCAGACGAGAAAAGAUAAA
Molecule: long non-coding RNA, 778 nt
Organism: Stylophora pistillata
Lineage: Eukaryota; Metazoa; Cnidaria; Anthozoa; Scleractinia; Pocilloporidae
Source: RefSeq, a predicted model, not a curated record